Long non-coding RNA from Corvus moneduloides (New Caledonian crow), 2104 nucleotides. Lineage: Eukaryota; Metazoa; Chordata; Aves; Passeriformes; Corvidae. The record is from Ensembl.
GGGAGCCGAGGAUCUCCGGCUCCCAGAGCACAUGACCCCUGCAGGGAAUUUUGCCUCCCUGCACCUGCAGGCUCUUGUCAUCCCUCCUCUUCUGCUCCUGGUUUUCUUUUUAAUCCUCUCAUUUCCCCCGCUCUCCACACACUAUCCCCCCCUUCAUUCCCCCCCCCCCCCCCCCGCCACAUCCAUUCAGCUUUUACCUCCUCCCCCCCCCCCUUUUUUUUUUUUUAAACCAGAAAGAAUCCCAGCAGAGGAAAAUAACAUCAAUCAGCUCCCUCCUUCCUUCCCCCCCCCCCCCCAAUAAAAAAGAAAAAAAAAACACCACCUGCCAACAUUUGGAAAAGCAACAGCGGACUAUUACCUCUAUCUUUAAUUUUCACUCACACUCAGAUGAAUGAGCAAGGAAGGGGGAGACCUCAACAGCCCCUCUAGACAUGGGGCUGAAUUGAUGGGAUUGUGAUUUGUAGGAUUUCUCCACUUAGUCCCUGCCUCCUACUUGCUCUCCAGCCACUCCAAAGUCUCUUCCCCUCUCUUUAAGCAGCGAUUUCUUUCAAUCUCUCUCUCUUCCUCUCUGUGUCUCUCUCCCUCACACUCUCCCUCUCUCUCUACAUACACUCAUCUCCCCGGAGAGAGAGAGAGGAGAAACUCAACUCCCAAACACCGACCAGAUGUCGAAGAAACGCAAAGCCCUGGAGGGCGGCGGAGCCCCGCUCCCCCCCGAGGACCCCAGAGCCUGCUUUGGGGCCGGCGAGGAGCAAGGUGUACACAGAGCAGAGAGGGAUGGAAUGGAUGUGUUCUCCAACAUGGAGUCUGUGGCCCUUUUUGUAAAUGAUGUGAAGGAUCCUAAUGUCACAAAACACCCACAUCAUGAAAUUCCCUUACCACUAUGGAUGUUUCUGCUUUUUGGAAGGAAAUGUUUCCAGCACAGUGGUUGGUGUGUUCUUCUGGUUUCAUUAGAAAGGAGCACUGAAAUUCACCAUUUCUCUUAAAAGAUAUGGUUUAGGGUUUAUGUGGUUGUUGGUUUUUAAUUGCUUGGCUCUCUCACAAGAAAAUAACAUGUUCAUAUUUUCUUGCCAUUUCUCUGCUUGAGACUAAUCUUGACAUGGGAGGGACAUUUUCAGACCCUGUCAAUGACUUUAUAUGCAUGACAGCAUUCAAUGUUUUUGCAAUGUGGAAUUUUGCUAUUACUAACCUGGAAAAUCUUACCUCUUUGUCAGCAAUAGAGGAGGUUAAAUACAGAAAGGACAUUCAGCAGAGAUUCAGCAUUCAGAAAGUUUGGUAUAGAUUACAUGCAAUUUUAAUCUAAAUGUAUGCCAGUAGUGGGUAUAGAAGCACCUUACACGUUAUUGUGAUGCAGAGAUUUUUGCCUGGUUAGAAUUUUUUUUAAGUGCUUUUUUUUUAAACUCCACAAUAAUAUUUUCUGUAACACUUCUGGUUAUAUAACAAGAAACAGAAAACAUAAUAUAACUUUAACACAGGAUUGUUUUUUUCCUUGAUUUCAGUAUGCACAAAACAAAUGAAAUGGAAAGUGAAAAAAGACUUAAUAAAGUAUUGAUGUGUAUCUAAAGGGAGUAAAUGAGGUAUCAUUUUCCUCAUAAGGGGACACAAUGUAUUUUGUAAAUCAGACUGAUUAAAAACUUGUGUUUUGCACCUAGAUAAUCUAGGCUCAUGUCUUUUCUGACACAGUAAAUGAUGAAAUAAGGUUAAAAAAUAUAAUUUUAUUUCUGAGCUUAAAUAUAUUUUUGUGAACUUCUGUUUAUUUUCUUCCUCCCAUUUUACAAGAAGGAAUGUUGCUUGUUAAUUACAUUGUCUGUGACUAUGUAACUGUAGAAACCAUUAAGAGUGUGCAAUGUAUCACAGUCUUGUAGGGAAUGUAUUUUUGUGUAAAAUGUGGGUGUGAGACUUUCUAAAGGCAUGAGAUGGGAAGGGGUUUUUUUUGAUUAAUCUUAAGCAUCUGACUAAGAAGCAUUGUGCUCUUACAGGAGGUUUACUACCUCUGUGGAUAAGGCAUACUCACUAAGGUUGGAGGGCAAGUGUGUGGUGUUUGCCUAGAAGUACGGAGAAACCCUGUAACACCUGGGGUUUAGCAUUAAAGCGUGUGUGCGUU